UACAGAGGUCUCAAGCGUUGUUCGGAUUCAUUGGGCGUAAAGGGUGCGUAGGCGGCGCGGUAAGUCGGGUGUGAAAUCUCGGAGCUUAACUCCGAAACUGCAUUCGAUACUGCCGUGCUUGAGGACUGGAGAGGAGACUGGAAUUCAUGGUGUAGCAGUGAAAUGCGCAGAUAUCAGGAGGAACACCGAUGGCGAAGGCAGGUCUCUGGGCCGAUACUGACGUGAGGAGCGAAAGCGUGGGGAGCGAACAGG
RNAcentral lists this ribosomal RNA (252 nucleotides) under uncultured bacterium. RNAcentral's name for it is "partial 16S ribosomal RNA". It matches the Rfam family "Bacterial small subunit ribosomal RNA", at positions 524 to 776 of the family's 1533-position model. The record is from RNAcentral.